CAUUUGCGAAAUGGGUUGAAGUCCACAAAGCGGGCUGGGAAAUUCCCCACGAAGCCUUGAGAUGUGGCCCCCUCCACUCCAUGAGGAGUACCAGGCUGCUCUCCCUCGAUGUGUCCUCAGUGCCCAGCCCGGCCAGGCCCGAGGUUAGAUCGCGUGGAUACGGCGACAGUCCCCGCCCUCGAGGAGGUCGCUGUUUUUACAUCCAGGCUUUUAACGCUCCACGGGGUACACAUGGCUCCUGUAUGAGAAGACGUAUGGGCACACCCCUCAAGGAAGAGGACCGGUCCAACCAGCCCAUCCACCCGGGGCCGAGCCCAGGGCCUGGCAGGAAGGUCAGGGUCUCGUGUCUCCUGGGAUUUUGUUCUGAGGUCCCUGCUCUGUUGCGAUCGGUUCCGUUUGACUGUUCCACAGGCAGGGCUUGCCGACGGCGGCUCUGAAACCUGCGGAGACAAGCGGCGGUGCCGCAGCCCAUCCCCGUCCCUCCCUCCUUCUUGGUUUUCUUGGCUGUUCUGGAGCAUGGAUUCUUGCACAAGGAUUUGAAGAUGACUUUACUCUGGAGCCGGUCUGCCUGAGCUUACAUGCUGCCUCCAUGGCUCAACCUGGGCAACUCACUGCCCACUUCAUGCCUCGGUCUCCCCAUCUAUAACAAUAACUACUGAAUCGGGCUUGGGGGGUUGAGUGAGAUCCUGUGUAUUGGGGUAGUUGGAACAGUGCCCAGCGUGUGGAAAUUGCUCAAUAGAUGGUAGCUACUUUAUUAUCAAC
Molecule: long non-coding RNA, 762 nt
Filed under: Equus caballus (horse)
Lineage: Eukaryota; Metazoa; Chordata; Mammalia; Perissodactyla; Equidae
Description: lncRNA (ENSECAG00000055487.1)
Source: RNAcentral